UGAGCAACCUGCCCUUGACCCUGGAAUAACAGCUAGAAACAGCUGCUAAUACCGGAUACGACCUCCGAUGGCAUCAUCUGGAGGUGGAAAGCUCCGACGGUCAAGGAUGGGCUCGCGGCCUAUCAGCUUGUUGGUGAGGUAACGGCUCACCAAGGCUUCGACGGGUAGCCGGCCUGAGAGGGCGACCGGGCCACACUGGGACUGAGAUACGGCCCAGACCUCCGUAGGGA
RNAcentral lists this ribosomal RNA (230 nucleotides) under uncultured bacterium. RNAcentral's name for it is "partial 16S ribosomal RNA". It matches the Rfam family "Bacterial small subunit ribosomal RNA", at positions 118 to 346 of the family's 1533-position model. The record is from RNAcentral.